Non-coding RNA from Salvia hispanica, 504 nucleotides. The record is from RefSeq and is a predicted model, not a curated record. NCBI's taxonomy places the organism in Eukaryota, Viridiplantae, Streptophyta, Magnoliopsida, Lamiales, Lamiaceae.
AUGUUUUUCCAUGUAUCCUUUUCCACUAUAAAUACCACACCAUCUCUACCCUUAAUUCUUUUGUUCUUCCACAAAAUCCCUAAACAAAAAUUUAUCUCAUGGUGAGGAUGCAAGUAAGUGCUUGAAGAAGGAAGUCAAGUUUCUACACACUACCUUGCUUCCAUAUUUUCCUCAAGAAGGGCGUAUUCGCGGAGUUUGAUUUCCAAGGCCAAGCUUUUGUAGCAUUUUAUUUGGAAGCUUUGAGGUUGAGCAAGUGAUGAAAUGGUGGCUGAGUGGAGUUGGUGGUCGUCUCAUCUCUUUUGUAGGAUUUUCGUGGCAUGUGUCUUCAUACAUAUGACCAUGUGGUUACAACUCCUUCCGCUGUGCAUGAUAGUAGUAUUUUGUAAUGUAUGGGUCGUAAGAACAAUGUCUAGUAUCGAGUGACCUUUGAUAAACAUUCUUGAUUUUAUGAUCCUUCGUUGUCUUGCGAACCUCUCUUAUCUUAUGAAAAAGUACUUGUGUGUC